Molecule: ribosomal RNA, 489 nt
Filed under: uncultured bacterium
Lineage: Bacteria
Description: bacterial SSU rRNA
Rfam family: Bacterial small subunit ribosomal RNA
Source: RNAcentral
AUUGAACGCUGGCGGCAGGCCUAACACAUGCAAGUCGAGCGGUAGAGAGGUGCUUGCAUCUCUUGAGAGCGGCGGACGGGUGAGUAAUGCCUAGGAAUCUGCCCUAGUGGUGGGGGAUAACGUUCGGAAACGGACGCUAAUACCGCAUACGUCCUACGGGAGAAAGCGGGGGAUCUUCGGACCUCGCGCCAUUAGAUGAGCCUAGGUCGGAUUAGCUAGUUGGUGAGGUAAUGGCUCACCAAGGCGACGAUCCGUAACUGGUCUGAGAGGAUGAUCAGUCACACUGGAACUGAGACACGGUCCAGACUCCUACGGGAGGCAGCAGUGAGGAAUAUUGGACAAUGGGCGAAAGCCUGAUCCAGCCAUGCCGCGUGUGUGAAGAAGGUCUUCGGAUUGUAAAGCACUUUAAGUUGGGAGGAAGGGUAGUAGCCUAAUACGUUGCUACUUUGACGUUACCGACAGAAUAAGCACCGGCUAACUUCGUGCCAG